CCAACGGCCCUCUUUAGGGCCACAAAUAUUGAAAUCCUUACAAAA
Molecule: non-coding RNA, 45 nt
Organism: Caenorhabditis elegans
Lineage: Eukaryota; Metazoa; Nematoda; Chromadorea; Rhabditida; Rhabditidae
Source: Rfam